CUACCGGGUUGCUGCAGUGGGGAAUAUUGGACAAUGGGGGAAACCCUGAUCCAGCAAUGCCGCGUGUGUGAAGAAGGCCUGCGGGUUGUAAAGCACUUUCGGUUGGGAGGACUGCUUCUAGCACUAAUAUUGUUGGAAGUUGACGUUACCUUCAGAAGAAGCACCGGCUAACUCCGUGCCAGCAGCCGCGGUAAUACGGGGGGUGCAAGCGUUAAUCGGAAUUACUGGGCGUAAAGCGCGCGUAGGCGGCUAGAUCAGUCGGGUGUGAAAGCCCCGGGCUUAACCUGGGAACUGCAUCCGAUACUGUCUAGCUUGAGUACAGGAGAGGAGAGUGGAAUUCCACAUGUAGCGGUGAAAUGCGUAGAUAUGUGGAGGAACACCAAUGGCGAAGGCAGCUCUCUGGCCUGAUACUGACGCUGAGGUGCGAAAGCGUGGGGAGCAAACAGGAUUAGAUACCCGCGUAGUC
This 466-nucleotide ribosomal RNA is filed under the name uncultured bacterium. Its description in RNAcentral is "partial 16S ribosomal RNA". It matches the Rfam family "Bacterial small subunit ribosomal RNA", at positions 338 to 795 of the family's 1533-position model. The record is from RNAcentral.